RNAcentral lists this long non-coding RNA (234 nucleotides) under Monodelphis domestica (gray short-tailed opossum). RNAcentral's name for it is "lncRNA (ENSMODG00000038675.1)". Lineage: Eukaryota; Metazoa; Chordata; Mammalia; Didelphimorphia; Didelphidae. The record is from RNAcentral.
UUGAGGCAUUGUCAAGAUAGAAACAUCAAGAUCUGUUAACUGAUGAAUAAGAGAGUAUGGAAUCAAAGAAUCAUGGAUGUUAUAAACCUGAGCAACUGAAAGAUGAUGGUGGGCUAUUUUUUAUUUAACCAACAGACAACAGGCUAAGAAGCAGUGGAGUGUGGACUUGGAGUUUUGAUGUAAGAGAUGAGACGCUAAUUAUGAGGAGGUUCUGACAUGAAGCAUUAAAGGUAC